UUUUAGAAAUCUCGACGGUUACUCCUUCAACUAGGCAUCUGUAAAGAGCUAAACUGAUAAUUUAAAUGCAAAGUUCACAUUUCGAAGCCGGCAAUCAACAAAACUCUUGCCAAUGACAUCCAUCAAGUUGCUCAUCAGAUCACCACUCUCACCCUACUUCAACCCUCCCGCAUUUCAAAUCUUUUAUAAAAUCCUGGGCAACCCAAAUUUUUUUUUUUUGGAUUUUUUGACAUCUUCAACUGUAAUUGAUGAUCAGUCGGAGCAAUAAAGGAGCAAGUCAUGGGGCACCAAUGUCUCCGGCCAAUCGGUGUCGACUAGCGGCAGCGUGGGCUCUCCUACAACCGGGAGUGAGGCGAUUGGCAACACUCCCCCAGUGAUAAGACUUCUAUUACACUUGAUCAUGUAGAUGCUCAUGCUGGUGAUGUUGCAUCUCAAGCUACUUAUAUGUGAGUGCUUAAUUUGCUGUGUUUUUUGAGGAUUUUAUUGCAGGGAAUCGAGUGUGAUUGAUUUGCUUUUACAAUUGAGACCGGAUUCUAUGGUGAUUUGAUUAUAUAUUUUGAUUUUGGAGCAAUUUUCUGAUCAUUGGAUGGUAAUUAUUGAAUUUAGAAAAGUGAUUUUUUUUUUGUGUUUGUUUUUGUGUUUGGACUAAUUACUACCGUUUGAGCAUGAAUUCUGCUAACUGUGUGUAUUAAGUGUUUUACUAUAUUCUUAGUUUUGUUGUGAUGAGACAGUGAAAAAAAAGGGGUCAACAAGCAGUCAGAGGGGAUAAGAAUUGCAGGGGACUCCGCCAAUCUAACAUGAAAGCUAAAAUGGUUGGUUGUUUGGCGUCCACUCACAUCCAUUCCUCCGAUCCUGUCGGUGCCAAUUUUUCCAAGGUCAAACCCUUAUUCUUUUUUACUGAUUGUUUUGGUCAAUUUUGUUUAUUAUUUUUAGGGUUUUGAUUAUUUUUUGUGUUUGCUUUGUAAUUUGAUUUGGGUUGUGUGAAAAUUAGCUUUCUUGAUCUUGAUACUUGAGGGUUUUGUUUAAUAUGAUCAAAUUGAUUGAAGUGCUUUGUGAUAGGUUGAAUUUUUGGCCGAUAGGAGAUUAGGAAUUUGAUAUAGUUUUUGUUAACUUUCGUGUAUUGAUUUGAUUGUUAGGAGCUCUCAGCGAAUUAGGUAAUUUCAAAUUAAUAACAAGAUUCAAUCUGACACUCUAAUUUAAUAUAAUAAAUUAACUAAUUAGAUAAAUUUGGAUAAAAUUAAUGGAUGAUCUCGGAUAGUUUUGCUGCUGAGAUAAAGUUGUCUGACAAGUUUUUUUUCCCACCAAAAUCAUCAUUCUCGCAUAUUGAAAUUGUAUCUUUCGUUUUGCUUGGUUCCGCCUUCGAAUAUGGUUCACAAGUUUAUAAAUUAUGCAAUUUCGCGUCAAGUUCAAGACUUAAAUGUGCAUAUUCCAGAAUUUGUUAUGGAUUUAUCCACCUUUACUUCUACUUCCAUGAAGAAACUUAAGAUGAGUCUUGAUUUUUGUAAGGUGUUUAGAUUCUCGGAUUGUUGGGAUUUGCCUGCUUUAACAACUCUACGCUUGAUACUCCCUUCAUUAAGCCUUGGCGGAAUAAGUAUUCCUGGAUUAUAGUUGAUCUGUUUGCCUUCUUUACAGACUCUGGUUCUCGAUUGUAUUGAGUUACCAAAUUCUCUUGAUUGCUUGCUUCAGUAACUCUCUAUCUCGCAAGGUGCAAGUCCUUAAUAUUAGCUGUAUUGGUUUAUUCCCAAUCACAUUUAGACUAUCUCAGUUAGAGUAUGUGAAUAUGAAAUUAAGGGAUAGCACUGAUGGAAGAAAGCCUAUUCCAGGAUCUAAGUUGAUGAAGAUAUAUUAUCGCGGAUUUACUUAUGUCUCAGGUUUAGGGUAGUGCAAAGAUUCUUACUCUCAACUUGGAGACUAUUGAGUAUGUGAAGGUGCCACAAGGAUGUAAAGAAACAAAUUUUGUCAACUGACCUCAAAUGCUACUUGCUUGGUCGCUCUCCAAAGCUACUAUUGUCACUAAAUUUCCUCAGGCAGCUAGGAAGUCUGCACCAACCACUGGAGAAUGAAGAUGCCCCACAGAUACCAUCCUGGAACUCUUGCCCUGCGAAGGAUCAUCCCCGCUCGUGAAUUGUGAUGAUACUGUAAGUGUGGCCUCCCCCGUCGAGUUCUACGUGGCGGACUACAACCCUGGCUGAAGGUAAUAGUAGUGCUAAAGGAUAAAGUAAAAGUACAGGAUAAGUUUAGUGACAAAUCAUCCUGUUUCUGUUGACUGAUCCGAGAGUGAGAUGGAUCCUGGCCUUCUGAUGAAGAAAGUGAGGGCUCCUGAUCUGCUGUUUCAUCAUGAGACCCCCUCCUGCUGCAACACAAAUGAACUGGGUCUGCUUCAGAAAGAAACCUCACCCCAGUAUAUCAGUGUUAGAAAUUUUGUUAUUCAUCAAGUUUAACUCAUUGUAAAAAUCAUGAAAAUACAAAUGAAAUCUAAUAUAUUUACUUUUCUGUUAUUAUUUCAUUUGAAAACACACAAUUAUAUUCUUUCCUUCAAGUCGGAUGAGAACUUUUCUUAGAAU
This is a long non-coding RNA of Daucus carota subsp. sativus, 2564 nucleotides long. RefSeq lists it as uncharacterized. The record is from RefSeq and is a predicted model, not a curated record. The transcript is spliced from 6 exons. Lineage: Eukaryota; Viridiplantae; Streptophyta; Magnoliopsida; Apiales; Apiaceae.